GACGAACGCUGGCGGCGUGCUUAACACAUGCAAGUCGAACGAUGAUGCUGGAGCUUGCUCCAGUUGAUUAGUGGCGGACGGGUGAGUAACACGUGAGCAAUCUGCCCUUGACUCUGGGAUAACUGCGGGAAACUGUAGCUAAUACCGGAUACUUUCACCGGAAGGCAUCUUCUGGUGAUGAAAGAAUUUCGGUCAGGGAUGAGCGCGCGGCCUAUCAGCUUGUUGGUGAGGUAACGGCUCACCAAGGCGCCGACGGGUCACCGGCCUCAGACGGUUACCCGUCACACGGGGACUGCUACACGGCCCACCCUCCUACGGGAGGCAGCGGUGGGGAAGAUUGCACAAUGGGCGCAAGCCUGAUGCAGCACCGCCGCGUGAUGGAUGAAGGCCUUCGGGUUGUAAACCUCUUUUCGCAGGGAAGAAGCGAAAGUGACGGUACCUGCAGAAAAAGCCCCGGCUAACUACGUGCCAGCCGCCGCGGUAA
This 484-nucleotide ribosomal RNA is filed under the name uncultured bacterium. Its description in RNAcentral is "partial 16S ribosomal RNA". It matches the Rfam family "Bacterial small subunit ribosomal RNA", at positions 28 to 523 of the family's 1533-position model. The record is from RNAcentral.